GUGUAUUUAACACUUCUCGAGAAACCCUAGUCUUGCCUAAUGUUUUAUGUUUUUGAGGUUCGAAGGUAUUAAAGAUUUUAUCUUUCGUAAAUCUCUUCCUUGUUGCUUACUGUGUGAACUUGUUUUUGUUUGUUUUUAAUGCCUAUGAUGGUGUUAAAUAUACUUUGAGAGAGUAAUCUCUAGGAAAAAGAAAUCAACUCUGAGGCAUUUUUUCCUCCUUACACUGUUACACAUCUGAUUUCUCUUUUUUGAUGAUAUAGUGUUUUAAUCUUAACUGAAUAUAUAGUUGUUUCCUAGUCUGCUGUUACUGUUUUACGGCCUUAAUGAUGGUUUUGGUUUUAAUUGCUAUCUUAAUUUCUGUUUAGUGUUGGUUACCUGUUGGGGUUUUAGUCAGUUAGUGCAAGUGACGAUGAAAAGACAGGGACAUCAGAGUCUCCUUGUUAGGAGAUGUAAAUGAUGAUUAAUGUCUAAAUGGGAAUCUCUCUGAUGCGCAUGUUACAGACUAUCCAAGUGUUUUCAAUUCUGAUCGAGGUUUUUUUAGUUUUUUUUUUCAAUUCUUACUGUUCUUUGAUUUCAUUGUAGUUUACUAGUUUUUGUUCCUUUCUUAAUUUCUGUUUGGGUUUGGUUCUUGUUUAUCCCGUUGAGAAAUUUUGAUUGAGAUGUGCAAGUGACGAUGAAAAGACAGGGACAUCAGAAAACCUCCUGUUUGGAGAAUGAGAAUGAUGACUAAUGUCUAAAUGGGAAUCUCUCUGAUGCACAUCACUAAGAAUCCUCAAUUUGUUUUAUCUAUUGUUCAUUCGAUUUCAAGUGAUUGACAAUGUUUGUUUGGUAGCUGGUUUUGCCUAUGAUGCAUCUUUACUAUUGCACGUAUUAACAGAUCUUCAGUGAUGAGUAUCACUAAUUUCUGAGGCAAACCGCACUAAGUGUUCAUGACAUGUCUAAAAACUGACGAUGACUCUGGUCUGAUUAUUUGCAUUUUAGGUCUGUUCUCUCUUAUGCUUUAAUAUCUGUUUGCAGGAUGAAAAUUCGAGCACAUGAAGUUGAGAGCUAUCUAGCUUAAAAACCUCGGAAGAACUAGAUGAGAGAUUGAAGCUAUUUUGUAUUUGUUUUGCAUUUCAUAGGAUACUUCAUUUGUAAUUGUAAUCAUUUAACGUAAUCAAUAAUGGAAAUCUUUCUUCUUUCAACGAAUAUGAUUCUUUUGCUUUUUAACUGUGUAUCAAGAGUAGCAAUCAAGAGAAGACUUGUUACAGUUCAUCAAGAAAUAAAACCUCAAUCUAUCAACGAAAUACAUCAAUCGUGAUUCUUUGGGAAAUCACUAAAAACACUAAGCAAGUGGC
RNAcentral lists this long non-coding RNA (1337 nucleotides) under Eutrema salsugineum. Lineage: Eukaryota; Viridiplantae; Streptophyta; Magnoliopsida; Brassicales; Brassicaceae. The record is from RNAcentral.